Molecule: ribosomal RNA, 1286 nt
Filed under: metagenome
Description: bacterial SSU rRNA
Rfam family: Bacterial small subunit ribosomal RNA
Source: RNAcentral
UAGCUAGUUGGUGAGGUAAAGGCUUACCAAGGCGACGAUCUGUAGCGGGUCUGAGAGGAUGAUCCGCCACACUGGAACUGAGACACGGUCCAGACUCCUACGGGAGGCAGCAGUGGGGAAUUUUGGACAAUGGGGGCAACCCUGAUCCAGCCAUGCCGCGUGAGUGAAGAAGGCCUUCGGGUUGUAAAGCUCUUUCGGCCGGGAAGAAAUCGCAUGGGCCAAUACCCUGUGUGGAUGACGGUACCGGAAUAAGAAGCACCGGCUAACUACGUGCCAGCAGCCGCGGUAAUACGUAGGGUGCGAGCGUUAAUCGGAAUUACUGGGCGUAAAGCGUGCGCAGGCGGUUUUGUAAGACAGGCGUGAAAUCCCCGGGCUUAACCUGGGAACUGCGUUUGUGACUGCAAGGCUAGAGUACGGCAGAGGGGGGUGGAAUUCCACGUGUAGCAGUGAAAUGCGUAGAGAUGUGGAGGAACACCAAUGGCGAAGGCAGCCCCCUGGGUCGAUACUGACGCUCAUGCACGAAAGCGUGGGUAGCAAACAGGAUUAGAUACCCUGGUAGUCCACGCCCUAAACUAUGUCAACUAGGUGUUGGGUGGGUAAAACCAUUUAGUACCGUAGCUAACGCGUGAAGUUGACCGCCUGGGGAGUACGGCCGCAAGGUUAAAACUCAAAGGAAUUGACGGGGACCCGCACAAGCGGUGAUGAUGUGGAUUAAUUCGAUGCAACGCGAAAAACCUUACCUACCCUUGACAUGCCAGGAACUUGCCAGAGAUGGCUUGGUGCCCGAAAGGGAGCCUGGACACAGGUGCCGCAUGGCUGUCGUCAGCUCGUGUCGUGAGAUGUUGGGUUAAGUCCCGCAACGAGCGCAACCCUUGUCGUUAAUUGCCAUCAUUUAGUUGGGCACUUUAACGAGACUGCCGGUGACAAACCGGAGGAAGGUGGGGAUGACGUCAAGUCCUCAUGGCCCUUAUGGGUAGGGCUUCACACGUCAUACAAUGGUCGGUACAAAGGGUUGCCAAGCCGCGAGGCGGAGCCAAUCCCAGAAAGCCGAUCGUAGUCCGGAUUGCAGGCUGCAACUCGCCUGCAUGAAGUCGGAAUCGCUAGUAAUCGUGGAUCAGCAUGUCACGGUGAAUACGUUCCCGGGUCUUGUACACACCGCCCGUCACACCAUGGGAGCGGGUUCCGCCAGAAGUAGGUAGCCUAACCGCAAGGGGGGCGCUUACCACGGCGGGGUUCGUGACUGGGGUGAAGUCGGAACAAGGUAGCCGUAGGGGAACCUGCGGCUG